RNAcentral lists this ribosomal RNA (460 nucleotides) under uncultured bacterium. RNAcentral describes it as "partial 16S ribosomal RNA". It matches the Rfam family "Bacterial small subunit ribosomal RNA", at positions 338 to 795 of the family's 1533-position model. The record is from RNAcentral.
CCUACGGGUGGCAGCAGUGAGGAAUAUUGGACAAUGGACGCGAGUCUGAACCAGCCAAGUAGCGUGUAGGAUGACUGCCCUAUGGGUUGUAAGCUUCUUUUAUAAGGGGAUAAAACGAGUCACGUGUGACUUUUUCAAUGUACUUUAUGAAUAAGGAUCGGCUAACUCCGUGCCAGCAGACGCGGUAAUACGGAGGAUCGGAGCGUUAUCCGGAUUUAUUGGGUUUAAAGGGAACGUAGAUGGGUUGUUAAGUCAGUUGUGAAAUCUUGGGGCUCAACCGGAAAAUUGCAAUUGAUACUGGCAGUCUUGAGUACAGUUGAGGUAGGCGGAAUUCGUGGUGUAGCGGUGAAAUGCUUAGAUAUCACGAAGAACCCCGAUUGCGAAGGCAGCUUACUAAACGGUGACUGACAUUGAUGUGCGAAAGUGUGGGUAGCAAACAGGAUUAGAUACCCGUGUAGUC